GCAAGUCGAACGGCAGCGCGGGUACUUGUACCUGGCGGCGAGUGGCGGACGGGUGAGUAAUGCAUAGGAAUCUGCCCAUUAGUUGGGGAUAACGUAGGGAAACUUACGCUAAUACCGAAUACGCCCUACGGGGGAAAGCAGGGGAUCUUUGGACCUUGCGCUAGCGGAUGAGCCUAUGUCAGAUUAGCUUGUUGGUAGGGUAAUGGCCUACCAAGGCAACGAUCCGUAGCUGGUCUGAGAGGACGAUC
RNAcentral lists this ribosomal RNA (248 nucleotides) under uncultured bacterium. RNAcentral's name for it is "partial 16S ribosomal RNA". It matches the Rfam family "Bacterial small subunit ribosomal RNA", at positions 57 to 305 of the family's 1533-position model. The record is from RNAcentral.